RNAcentral lists this ribosomal RNA (492 nucleotides) under uncultured bacterium. Its description in RNAcentral is "partial 16S ribosomal RNA". It matches the Rfam family "Bacterial small subunit ribosomal RNA", at positions 29 to 507 of the family's 1533-position model. The record is from RNAcentral.
AGUGAACGCUGGCGGUAGGCCUAACACAUGCAAGUCGAACGGCAGCACAGUAAGAGCUUGCUCUUACGGGUGGCGAGUGGCGGACGGGUGAGGCAUACAUCGGAAUCUACUUUUUCGUGGGGGAUAACGUAGGGAAACUUACGCUAAUACCGCAUACGACCUACGGGUGAAAGCAGGGGAUCUUCGGACCUUGCGCGAUUGAAUGAGCCGAUGUCGGAUUAGCUAGUUGGCGGGGUAAAGGCCCACCAAGGCGACGAUCCGUAGCUGGUCUGAGAGGAUGAUCAGCCACACUGGAACUGAGACACGGUCCAGACUCCUACGGGAGGCAGCAGUGGGGAAUAUUGGGCAAUGGGCGCAAGCCUGAUCCAGCCAUACCGCGUGGGUGAAGAAGGCCUUCGGGUUGUAAAGCCCUUUUGUUGGGAAAGAAAAGCAGCAGGUUAAUACCCCGCUGUUCUGACGGUACCCAAAGAAUAAGCACCGGCUAACUUCGUG